RNAcentral lists this unclassified non-coding RNA (302 nucleotides) under Hevea brasiliensis (rubber tree). The record is from RNAcentral. Lineage: Eukaryota; Viridiplantae; Streptophyta; Magnoliopsida; Malpighiales; Euphorbiaceae.
CAAGCUCAAACCCAUUUGUUUAUGAUCUUAAAAUGGCUCACAAGAUUGAAAAAGUUAGAAGUAAAUUAGAUGAGAUUGCUGCAAAUAAGAAGUUUCACUUAGAUAAGCUCCCUGAGAAGACAUUUCCUAUGAUUGGGGAAAGAGAGCAAACUCACUCAUCCUUACCUCAAGUAGUUGUUGGCAGAAAAGAAGAUAAGAAGAAAAUUGUUGAUUUUCUUCUGUCUUCUUCUUAUGGGGAGAACGUGUCCAUCAUUUCCAUUGUUGGUAUUGGAGGCUUGGGAAAGACAACACUUGCUCAACUU